AUUGAACGCUGGCGGCAGGCCUAACACAUGCAAGUCGAACGGUAACAGGAAGCAGCUUGCUGCUUCGCUGACGAGUGGCGGACGGGUGAGUAAUGUCUGGGAAGCUGCCUGAUGGAGGGGGAUAACUACUGGAAACGGUAGCUAAUACCGCAUAAUGUCGCAAGACCAAAGAGGGGGACCUUCGGGCCUCUUGCCAUCGGAUGUGCCCAGAUGGGAUUAGCUUGUUGGUGGGGUAACGGCUCACCAAGGCGACGAUCCCUAGCUGGUCUGAGAGGAUGACCAGCCACCCUGGAACUGAGACACGGUCCAGACUCCUACGGGAGGCAGCAGUGGGGAAUAUUGCACAAAGGGCGCAAGCCUGAUGCAGCCAUGCCGCGUGUAUGAAGAAGGCCUUCGGGUUGUAAAGUACUUUCAGCGGGGAGGAAGGGAGUAAAGUUAAUACCUUUGCUCAUUGACGUUACCCGCAGAAGAAGCACCGGCUAACUCCGUG
RNAcentral lists this ribosomal RNA (490 nucleotides) under uncultured bacterium. RNAcentral's name for it is "partial 16S ribosomal RNA". It matches the Rfam family "Bacterial small subunit ribosomal RNA", at positions 30 to 507 of the family's 1533-position model. The record is from RNAcentral.